UAUUUGGUUUUAGAGAAUCCAGCAAUUGUCUGAAGACGCUCCUACCCAAAGGACUAUCAAAGUGGCAAGCAAAGAGGCAGGGCCAUUUGGCAAAACCACUAUCCUUCAUGGCACUCAGAGUCUAAACAAGGAAAGGAUUCUGAGGAAAGGAUGGAAGCUAUGAGGGAAAAUACCUUGUCUUAUACUCUUGCUGCAUGGAGCCUAAUUCCCCAAACCCCCAAACCUCCAAGCAUGUGUUGUAGGUUGUGUGACUUCUAUCGACAGCCAUAAAGCUCAUUUAGAGCUUGAAAGAGGAUGACACCUUGAUUGACUGCAGCCUUAUUCCUGACCCACAGAAACUGAGUUUGUCUCCCAAGUUGGAAAUGCUCUGGGGAGCAGUUGUCAUAUGGCCAUUUGAAUCACCUGGUGUGAAAUGACGGAAGCUGGCAAUGAGAAGUCAUAAGAGACCCUGCUACCUGAAGGCAGAGCCAAUGCAUUAAUCUGACCUUGCUUUAGUUAUGGUCAAUAAAGUUUACU
This is a long non-coding RNA of Eptesicus fuscus (big brown bat), 516 nucleotides long. RefSeq lists it as uncharacterized. The transcript has 3 exons. The record is from RefSeq and is a predicted model, not a curated record. NCBI's taxonomy places the organism in Eukaryota, Metazoa, Chordata, Mammalia, Chiroptera, Vespertilionidae.